This 484-nucleotide ribosomal RNA is filed under the name uncultured bacterium. Its description in RNAcentral is "bacterial SSU rRNA". It matches the Rfam family "Bacterial small subunit ribosomal RNA", at positions 30 to 507 of the family's 1533-position model. The record is from RNAcentral.
AUUGAACGCUGGCGGCAUGCCUUACACAUGCAAGUCGAACGGUAACGGAUCCUUCGGGAUGCCGACGAGUGGCGAACGGGUGAGUAAUACAUCGGAACGUGCCUGGUAGUGGGGGAUAACUACUCGAAAGAGUGGCUAAUACCGCAUGAGAUCUCAGGAUGAAAGCAGGGGACCCUCGGGCCUUGCGCUAUCAGAGCGGCCGAUGGCAGAUUAGGUAGUUGGUGGGAUAAAAGCUUACCAAGCCGACGAUCUGUAGCUGGUCUGAGAGGACGAUCAGCCACACUGGGACUGAGACACGGCCCAGACUCCUACGGGAGGCAGCAGUGGGGAAUUUUGGACAAUGGGCGCAAGCCUGAUCCAGCAAUGCCGCGUGCAGGAUGAAGGCCUUCGGGUUGUAAACUGCUUUUGUACGGAACGAAAAGCUUCGGGCUAAUACCCUGGAGUCAUGACGGUACCGUAAGAAUAAGCACCGGCUAACUACGUG